Molecule: non-coding RNA, 97 nt
Organism: Mycena leptocephala
Lineage: Eukaryota; Fungi; Basidiomycota; Agaricomycetes; Agaricales; Mycenaceae
Source: the annotation of a GenBank genome assembly
GCACCGAUGGUGUAUGGCACACCCACCGACAGAAUCAGAAGAAAUUGUCAUAAUGUUAUUACAACGGCGGACCGGGGUUCGAUUCCCCGUUGGUGCA